AACGCAUCUUGCGCUCCUUGGUAUUCCGAGGAGCAUGCCUGUUUGAGUGUCAUUAAAUUCUCAACUACACUGAUUUUGUUGGUGUGGCUUGGAUUUGGGGGGAGAAUCAUAUUUAUGUUCUUUGCAGGCUUUGUAAAUGAAGUCAGCUCCCCUGAAAUUGAUUUGCGGUACCUCAGUAGAACUGUCUGUAGGUGUGAUAACUUAUCUACACCUUGGAUGUCUGCAUGAAAAGGUUAUGCUGCUUCCUAACCCUCACUCCUCAUCUGGAGCGCUAAUAUGACAAUCUUGACCUCAAAUCAGGUAGGACUACCCGCUGAACUUAA
Molecule: unclassified non-coding RNA, 323 nt
Filed under: uncultured Inocybe
Lineage: Eukaryota; Fungi; Basidiomycota; Agaricomycetes; Agaricales; Cortinariaceae
Description: sequence contains ITS2
Rfam family: 5.8S ribosomal RNA (bases 1-52)
Source: RNAcentral